AUUGAACGCUGGCGGCAGGCCUAACACAUGCAAGUCGGACGGUAGCACAGAGGAGCUUGCUCCUCGGGUGACGAGUGGCGGACGGGUGAGUAAUGUCUGGGGAUCUGCCCGAUAGAGGGGGAUAACCACUGGAAACGGUGGCUAAUACCGCAUAACGUCGCAAGACCAAAGAGGGGGACCUUCGGGCCUCUCACUAUCGGAUGAACCCAGAUGGGAUUAGCUAGUAGGCGGGGUAAUGGCCCACCUAGGCGACGAUCCCUAGCUGGUCUGAGAGGAUGACCAGCCACACUGGAACUGAGACACGGUCCAGACUCCUACGGGAGGCAGCAGUGGGGAAUAUUGCACAAUGGGCGCAAGCCUGAUGCAGCCAUGCCGCGUGUAUGAAGAAGGCCUUCGGGUUGUAAAGUACUUUCAGCGGGGAGGAAGGCGAUAUGGUUAAUAACCUUGUCGAUUGACGUUACCCGCAGAAGAAGCACCGGCUAACUCCGUGCCAGCAGCCGCGGUAA
This 506-nucleotide ribosomal RNA is filed under the name uncultured bacterium. RNAcentral describes it as "partial 16S ribosomal RNA". It matches the Rfam family "Bacterial small subunit ribosomal RNA", at positions 30 to 523 of the family's 1533-position model. The record is from RNAcentral.